GUUUGUGAUCGCGAGAGUUUUAGUUGCGCAAUAAGGGUUGGGCCUUGUAAUGAAGGAAGAAUUGGAUGCGGAAGGUAGAAUUGAGCCAAUGUAUGGAACAACAUUCCCGGUAUGACUUGCCUAGCUAGUGCUUCCUAGCUGACUAUACUAAAUGAAUUUCCGUUGUCCAUCCUCAAUCUUGUGUAUGACAUUCACACACUUUUCUACAUCCAUGCGCGGGGUUGAAAUUGG
This is a long non-coding RNA of Capsicum annuum, 231 nucleotides long. RefSeq lists it as uncharacterized. The transcript has 2 exons. The record is from RefSeq and is a predicted model, not a curated record. NCBI's taxonomy places the organism in Eukaryota, Viridiplantae, Streptophyta, Magnoliopsida, Solanales, Solanaceae.